Vulpes vulpes (red fox) is the source of this 621-nucleotide long non-coding RNA. The record is from Ensembl. Lineage: Eukaryota; Metazoa; Chordata; Mammalia; Carnivora; Canidae.
GCACUACUAGUUAUUGGGUGUUGGAGGGAGACUUUUGAGAGGAGGAAAUUUUACACCAGAUGGUGUAGGUUCAUGUUCCUCAUUCCUACAACCUUCCACCUCAAAAUUAUGAUGUACUCAGCCUAGUGAAUCCUUUAGAUAGUCGGCCUGAUGUAUGAGUUUAAUCCUGCAGGCACAGAGCUUAGCAUCUAGAACAAAGAAACAUCCCUGUAAGGGUUCCUUUCAAGUCUGGAGGUGAGACUUGAUAAUAGGCUAGGACAGGUACAGGUUCAGGCAGUACACUGCAAAUCACAUUCUUUAUAUUUCAUACUAAAGGUGAUGCAAUGGAAACCAGUAAUAUCCAAGCAAAGUGAGGACCUGAGAGCAAUGGAAUGGUAGGACAAUACCUAACUAGGACCUCAUACAUACCUGGAAAACAUGAUCUUUGCCCCUCACCAUAAGAACAGAAGAGGAACAGAAGACCUUGGAAAGAAUCUGUCUCACCAUCAGGGCAAUUUUCCAACUCAGCCUACAUCUGCAACUCUGGCGUCAAAGUGGAGUGGAAAAGUAAGUAGAUGAAUUAUAUCAUUCAACUUGCCUAAGCUAUCGGAUAAUAAUCAGGGAGCAGUGAAGUUGGGAUUU